CCUACGGGUGGCAGCAGUGGGGAAUAUUGCACAAUGGGGGAAACCCUGAUGCAGCGACGCCGCGUGAGUGAAGAAGUAUUUCGGUAUGUAAAGCUCUGUCAGCAGGGAAGAAAAUGACGGUACCUGACCAAGAAGCCCCGGCUAACUACGUGCCAGCAGCCGCGGUAAUACGUAGGGGGCAAGCGUUGUCCGGAUUUACUGGUUGUAAAGGGCGUGCAGCCGGGAAGACAAGUCAGAUGUGAAAUCCCGCGGCUCAACCGCGGGACUGCAUUUGAAACUGUUUUUCUUGAGUACCGGAGAGGUCAACGGAAUUCCUUGUGUAGCGGUGAAAUGCGUAGAUAUAAGGAAGAACACCAGUGGCGAAGGCGGAUGGCUGGACGGCAACUGACGGUGAGGCGCGAAAGCGUGGGGAGCAAACAGGAUUAGAUACCCUUGUAGUC
This 440-nucleotide ribosomal RNA is filed under the name uncultured bacterium. RNAcentral's name for it is "partial 16S ribosomal RNA". It matches the Rfam family "Bacterial small subunit ribosomal RNA", at positions 338 to 795 of the family's 1533-position model. The record is from RNAcentral.